This is a long non-coding RNA of Gallus gallus (chicken), 1816 nucleotides long. The record is from Ensembl. NCBI's taxonomy places the organism in Eukaryota, Metazoa, Chordata, Aves, Galliformes, Phasianidae.
GUGAGCCCCAAGGUCCUUUUAACAGUCAUCUUUUCCACCUUCCAUUCUUCUGGCACUGUCGAAUGUAAGGUAGAUUUAAGCAGUUAGUUGGAUAAAACAGGAUUUUGUUUUCUUCAGAAUUUGCGUGCUCAUACCAUCUGAUCUCAACAGUUGCAGUGAGGUCUCAGGGAACAUGAGAAUCAAGACAGAAAAACGCUGCAGAAAAUGCUGAAACAAAUGUUACAGGAACUGCUUGUAAACUCAGCAUGUCCCACUUUAGACUCCCUUUUGACUUAAGAGUUGCAUUACCUAGGCAGAGAUUUCCAGAUGUAUCUCUGAACUUUUAGGUUUAGUAGGUACUUGUAGAGUCUACUGGUUAGUAGACACUGAUAAUGUAAGAAAUGUGUGCAAAAUGCAAUAGAUUUAAUAUAUCACUUGAAAAGAAAUCAUUGAAAAUAUCACAAGAAGGUGUUAAAGACAAAAAAUCAAAAAAGAUAAAAAUGAUUUGCUAGGUAACAGAUCCUGGGUCAGGUAUUUAGGUAUUCCAAUUCCUAAGCGCAAUGAUCAGCUUGUCUUCCUUACCUACCUCCAAACCCAACAACAAAGUAGCAUUUGCUUUUGAGUGAGAAAUAAUGAAUAGACAGAAGUCACUGCUGUAGGGUGUAGUGGAAUCAGGUAUAGAUGAGUGAAGUUCCUGUAACUAAUUGUAACUGUAUGUACAGAUUGGUAGAAUGAAGAAAAAAAAUGCCCUGAAAAAGAAUACAUGGGCUUUACACCUUCAGAGUUAUAGAUUCUGAUUUGUGAAGAAGAGGAAGGGUUUCCCAGAUGUGACCUUCCUUCCUUCCACCCACCCAUUCAUCCAUCCACUCAUCCAUCCAGUCAUCCACUGAUCCAUCCAUCCAUCCAUCCAUCCAUCCAUCCACCUGUCUAUCCAUCCAUCCAUCCAUCCACCUGUCUAUCCAUCCAUCCAUCCAUCCAUCCACCCACCCAUCUAUCCAUCCAUCCAUCCAUCCAUCUGUCCAUCCGUCCAUUCAUCCAUCCACCUAUAUGUCAUUACCUCAGCCUGGGGCAGUGUGGAAUGGUGUUUCUUGUUGGUCACCUCUGGUGCCACAUUGUUCAUAUAACACACUAGCUUGACCCUAAAGACAAAUUGGUCAGACCUAUGUACUGUAAAAUUUCUCACAACGACAAGGUUACUUCUGACUUCAGAGGGUAGGAGUAAAGGGAUGUGAGAUCACAUGAGGAUAUUUAAAAAAAAUACAUGGUUGUGGAAGGCAACGUACUUAACCAGCAAAUCCCUAUGGGAGUGAGAAAGCUGAUUCCAUGUUAUUUGACCAGAAUGUGCUGCAGGCUGGGCACGUGCCGGAUAUACUCGGCACAUUAAGACCUGGGAGUUGCUCUUUGAUUGUCUGAACUAUAAUUUGCAGCCUGAUGCCUGAAAAUAAACUGGAAUUUUUCAAGGACAGGAAGCUGUGCACUGUCAUCCUCCCAAUGUCACCCUCGGUGCCACCUCAAUAGGAUUUCCCAUUGUUCGAGGUCAGAAUUAUGAACUGACCUCAGAAAAAUAUCUUCAGGCACCAGCAAACCCAAAUGCUAACCUGGGCAGUGGCAUUCUGUUUGCUGUGAGUGGCGAGAUGUGCAAACCCCUGUUCACCAUGCUGAACAACACUGAGCUAAAGCAGUCAACCUCCCACCCCAAGCUCCACAAACUGGCCUUUGCGGGUGUGCUCUUCAGUUAAGGAUAUUAAAUUAAGGCAUAAACUAUUUAUUGCUUGUGGAUGAUCGUACCAUGCUCCUGUCACAUCUCCUUUUGUUGCUACUGGGCACAAAAAUUCUG